AGCCUCUCCGAAUUUGAUAAGUUUGGCACCUAUCUUUCAAGGUGGAACAUUUGUUAUCACUUCGAUUUAACGCAAUCCUUGGAAAAUUUUCAACACCUUAAACUGCAGCCUGUAGUAAAGGCAUGGCAAUCAAAAAAAAAAACUUUUUGAUUGGAUGGGAAUGAAUCAAGAAAAGGUUAAUCGUGUACUCUGAUUCUUCCGAGAAUUUGUGCCAACUGAUCAAGAACAAAAACACCGUCAGGUGUGCAUAAAGGCCAGCUCGUAGAUCAC
RNAcentral lists this long non-coding RNA (270 nucleotides) under Elaeis guineensis (African oil palm). Its description in RNAcentral is "long non-coding RNA (EGUI_LNC010850)". Lineage: Eukaryota; Viridiplantae; Streptophyta; Magnoliopsida; Arecales; Arecaceae. The record is from RNAcentral.